CCCUUAGUGUUCGGGAUUUAGGUCGUUGGGUUUAAGGGUCGGGGUUAAAAAACGACCGUACCCAAAGGGCGACCGAUCCGUAGCGUGGUUUGAGAGGAUGAUCAGCCACACUGGGACUGAGACACGGCCCAG
This 132-nucleotide ribosomal RNA is filed under the name uncultured bacterium. RNAcentral's name for it is "partial 16S ribosomal RNA". The record is from RNAcentral.